Molecule: ribosomal RNA, 774 nt
Filed under: uncultured Neocallimastigales
Lineage: Eukaryota; Fungi; Neocallimastigomycota; Neocallimastigomycetes; Neocallimastigales
Description: partial large subunit ribosomal RNA
Rfam family: Eukaryotic large subunit ribosomal RNA
Source: RNAcentral
AUGUGAUCGUCUCUCGCAUAUCAAUAAGCGGAGGAAAAGAAACUAACAAGGAUUCCCCUAGUAACGGCGAGUGAAGCGGGAAGAGCUCAAAUUUGAAAUCUUAAAGGGUUUCCCUUUACGAAUUGUAGUUUAAAGAAGUGUUUUCUGUUGAGGUUUUGGUAAAAGUUCUUUGGAAUAGGACAUCAUAGAGGGUGAGAAUCCCGUAUUUGACCUUUACUUUCAACUUUGUGAUACACUUUCAAAGAGUCGGAUUGUUUGGGAAUGCAGUCCAAAAUGGGUGGUAAAUUUCAUCUAAAGCUAAAUAUUGGCGAGAGACCGAUAGCGAACAAGUACCGUGAGGGAAAGAUGAAAAGAACUUUGAAAAGAGAGUUAAACAGUACGUGGAAUUGUCAAAAGGGAAGCGUUUGACACCAGUGUUGUUUUUCUGAAAAUCAAUUAAAGAACUGUUUAUGCUAAGCUGUUUAGACUUUAUCAGCUAACUGUUUAGUUUUGAGCUUUUCUUUAAUGCACUUUUCAGUUAACAAGUCAACAUCAAUUUCUUUUGCCGUAAAAAAGCUUGAGGAAGGUGGCUUGAGAUUUCGUCUUAAGUGUUUAUAGCCUCUUGCCUAUGCAGUCGGAGAGAUUGAGGUCUGCAGCGUAGAUCCUUCGGGGCUAAAUGCAUUUGUGCUAAGUUAUAACAUUUUAUAGACAACUUGUUGACUAUGAUUUGUCUUGUAGCUUACUCGCUUAUGUUAUUUUACCUACGCUUAGGAUGUUGAGUAGCGACAUACGCAC